CAUUUUUCUUUAAAGCACAAUUACAAUACCCAGGAAUCCAAUAAUACACUCGGCCAAACCAAUGGAUGAGCACACGCUCAACUCAACACGAUUAACAUAUUACCAAAACUAGAAAAGACUACUCAGCAGCCAAGUCCAAACACCUAUCUACAGUUACCAGACUCCUCAAACAUGUGUGUACGACCGGAAAUUAGAUAACAAAUUGUCCCUUCAGUCUUACAAUAGUCCCAAAUAAGAUACAACAGGCCAAAAACUUAUCCACUUAACACAGAGAUUGAUUAAAACGGUAUAGCAUGCCAAAUAAGAAAAGAAAUACAAAGUAAAACAUAAUUAAAUCAGAAAAAAACUGAAAUUAUGCUUUAAAAUCCUUCUUUCUCAUUUUAUUCUUCAACUCAAAGCUUAACCAAAACAUGUAGAGUUUCAGGAGACAUGUACCUGUGAAUGAAAAGGCAAAGGGAAAAGUAAGGAAUCAACAGUAUGCAGAAAUCAACACCAGUAGCAGAACAGUCCCAGAUUCAACUAAACUCAGCAGUGAAAUUGAACCAGAAGAAGGAAACCUAUUCAACAACUUGAACUAAAUCUUGCACCAACCAAGUUUAAACCAUUUUUGACAUCAAUUAGGAUCAGCUAUUGUUUAGAAGAUGAAUGAAAACUUCAAAGUUCAAAACCAAAAUUCUAAUGGAACAGUAGUUUUCUUUAAAUUUCAGUCGUUUGCUGUUUUUCAGAAUUCUCUCUCUCUCAUCUCUGCCUUGAAAGGCAAGAAAGUAUGUCUUUAUAGGCAAGGGAAGUAGGGCAGCCUAGAAAAGUUCAGUUUUGCAAUUAGGCCUUUUUCCUAUUUUUGUUUUUGCCUAGAUCAGAUUUUCAAAAAACAGUCCAAAAGCUAGCUUCUCAAAAGCUUCUUAGGCAGUUAACUAAGAUUCCCCUAGGCUAAUUGCCCAGAUUACCCCCUCACACCCUUGUUUCUUACUACCGUAAACCCAAAUGGGUACGGGUCAUUUUGACCCAAGGUUUUAAUUUAACCAAACAGACUAAAUCCCUCCCUUUUGACCCAAAGCAAAUCCAGUUUUCACAAGAAUCAAUUGGGCAGAAAAUAAACGGGCAAGGGAAUUCAAAGGUCCCUUGGCCCAAAAUCUCAAAUUAGCCCACAACACUAAAAACUAAUAGCAAUUGACAAAACUAAUACAACGAAUCCAAAUAGACUAAAUAAAGUAAAAACAAAUGUCAAUUAAGCCUUACUAAACGGGACACAUGUGAAAUGAUUUUAGGGAAAAAAAUCAUUUCGCUAAAAAUGAUUUUAGAGAAGAAGAAGAAAUUGAUUCCAAACUCAAACCUUCAAAACCUCGCCGAUUCGGACUUUUUGGGAUUUUAGGGUUGUCUCUUCAAAUCAAGAUUCGAGAAGUUACGUUAAGAUUCUAGGGUAGCGGAUUAUAGAUUAGGGAAGAAGGAGCCGGGGUGGGUCUGUGGUGCGAUUUUGGUGGGGAUUGGGAGUGGCGCCGCCACCUUAAGGCGGUGGGAAUUAGGGGCGGCGGGUUAGGGUUCCGUAAAAUUUGGUCUCUGAAGGAGAGUGAAUUGGGAGAGAUGAUAUGGGGGGUAGUGGAGUUCAGACACUAAUAUAAUAAUCCCCACCCCAGUUCCCAACUGUAGGAUCA
This 1649-nucleotide long non-coding RNA is filed under the name Nicotiana tabacum (common tobacco). Its description in RNAcentral is "long non-coding RNA (NTAB_LNC019362)". Lineage: Eukaryota; Viridiplantae; Streptophyta; Magnoliopsida; Solanales; Solanaceae. The record is from RNAcentral.